CGGGGAGCACCACAACAGGUGGAGCCUGCGGUUUAAUCGGACUCAACGCCGGGAAACUCACCAGAUAAGACAGCUGAAUGAUAGUCGGGCUGAAGACUCUACUUGACUAGCUGAGAGGAGGUGCAUGGCCGUCGUCAGUUCGUACUGUGAAGCAUCCUGUUAAGUCAGGCAACGAGCGAGACCCACGCCAACAGUUGCCAGCUCGUCCUCCGGGAUGGUGGGGACACUGUUGGGACCGCCUCUGCUAAAGAGGAGGAAGGAGUGGGCAACGGUAGGUCAGCAUGCCCCGAAUUAUCUGGGCUACACGCGGGCUACAAUGGGUGGGACAAUGGGUAUCGACACCGAAAGGUGAAGGCAAUCUCCUAAACCCAUCCGUAGUUCGGAUUGUGGGCUGCAACUCGCCCACAUGAAGCUGGAAUCUGUAGUAAUCGUGUCUCAAAAUGGCACGGUGAAUAUGUCCCUGCUCCUU
RNAcentral lists this ribosomal RNA (469 nucleotides) under uncultured Methanomicrobiales archaeon. RNAcentral's name for it is "bacterial SSU rRNA". It matches the Rfam family "Archaeal small subunit ribosomal RNA", at positions 871 to 1337 of the family's 1478-position model. Lineage: Archaea; Methanobacteriati; Methanobacteriota; Methanomicrobia; Methanomicrobiales. The record is from RNAcentral.